This 30-nucleotide non-coding RNA is filed under the name Mus musculus (house mouse). Lineage: Eukaryota; Metazoa; Chordata; Mammalia; Rodentia; Muridae. The record is from RNAcentral.
UAGGUGUCUAGCCAGAAAGCUGGCUGAGGU